UGGACAGCAGGCUUCUCCCUCUGGUCCAGCUACAGUUAGUUGUUCACUGGGAGAAUAAUUCUGAGCAUAUGCAGCAGAUUCAUCUUGCAGGAGUGCAAGCUCUCGAUUUCCUCGCUUCCAAUCGAUUGAUAAGAAGCAUUCAACCUUGGAUGUGAUCAAACCAACGCACUAACCCACCAACGGAGUCAAUCAGGCCCUUAUCCAGCACCUGGCACAUUGUCAGUCUAUUGUGUGAAUGAAAUCAUCUUUUAUGAGGCCGUUUUUGCUCAAGAGUCUCCAACUUUAAGAAGUGAAAGCUUGUACAUAACUGUUUUCUGAGCAUGGACCAGGCACUGGUCUAGUUCUGACGUGUAUUAGCCUAUUCUCCUUCAAAAAUCUGAGGAGGUGGAGAUUUGGAGGAAAAUAUAACCUGUUUUUGUGGAUGACUGACCUCCUUGGGCCUUUGGAUUUGGCAAAGGGAGGUGAAGACCCCAUUCUGGAAGAAAGAAGGUCCAGACUUGAACUCCAAGACAUUAAAAUGAAACAGGUUGUUUUCAUUGCAGAUG
Long non-coding RNA from Equus quagga, 545 nucleotides. RefSeq lists it as uncharacterized. The transcript has 3 exons. The record is from RefSeq and is a predicted model, not a curated record. Lineage: Eukaryota; Metazoa; Chordata; Mammalia; Perissodactyla; Equidae.